GCAGCCGCGGUAAUACGGAAGAUGCGAGCGUUAUCCGGAUUUAUUGGGUUUAAAGGGAGCGUAGGCGGACUUUUAAGUCAGCGGUAAAAUCGUGCGGCUCAACCGUGCCCUGCCGUUGAAACUGGUAGUCUUGAGUGUACACAGGGCAGGUGGAAUUUGUGGUGUAGCGGUGAAAUGCUUAGAUAUCACGAGGAACUCCGAUCGCGAAGGCAUCCUGCCGGGGUACGACUGACGCUGAGGCUCGAAAGUGUGGGUAUCAAACAGGAUUAGAUACCCC
RNAcentral lists this ribosomal RNA (277 nucleotides) under uncultured bacterium. RNAcentral describes it as "partial 16S ribosomal RNA". It matches the Rfam family "Bacterial small subunit ribosomal RNA", at positions 511 to 788 of the family's 1533-position model. The record is from RNAcentral.